Molecule: ribosomal RNA, 253 nt
Filed under: uncultured bacterium
Lineage: Bacteria
Description: partial 16S ribosomal RNA
Rfam family: Bacterial small subunit ribosomal RNA
Source: RNAcentral
UACGUAGGGUGCAAGCGUUAAUCGGAAUUACUGGGCGUAAAGCGUGCGCAGGCGGCUUUGCAAGACAGAUGUGAAAUCCCCGGGCUUAACCUGGGAAUGGCGAUGGAGACUGCGAGGCUAGAGUUUGGCAGAGGGGGGUAGAAUUCCACGUGUAGCAGUGAAAUGCGUAGAGAUGUGGAGGAACACCGAUGGCGAAGGCAGCCCCCUGGGUCAAAACUGACGCUCAUGCACGAAAGCGUGGGGAGCAAACAGG